Long non-coding RNA from Juglans regia (Persian walnut), 524 nucleotides. RefSeq lists it as uncharacterized. Lineage: Eukaryota; Viridiplantae; Streptophyta; Magnoliopsida; Fagales; Juglandaceae. The record is from RefSeq and is a predicted model, not a curated record. The transcript is spliced from 3 exons.
UGAAAACAAAUAAAAACUAAUCCUAAGCAUUUCUAUCCCCCAUACCGUUGACCCUCACCCAAGAGAAAAGAAAUAAAAAUUCCACUCCCUUUCCAAGCAAGGUAAAGCCAACCCUCUCUUCUUCUCCUCUCUUUUGUUCUUCAAGAAACCAACUCCUCUCAUCAUCUUCAAGCUUAUGACUCCAUAUCAAGUGAUAUCGUGUUGCUCUUCAUCCACAUGGCUAUACCUCUAUUUGGUCUUCCACUUGUGUUUGGAAAGGAGCUAAGAACUUAACGUAAUGACGAAAAGGCUGAGGAGCAAGGCAUUACUGCAAAGGGAGAGACAGACGCUUAGGACCUUCCCUAACUAGAAUAAUUAUGUUACGGAUGAUGGGUUAUGUUUAUGUAUAGACGUUUUAUGUUGAGAUGGACUCUGAGAGUCUCUUAUAGAUGAAUGUUUGAAUAGAAUGUCCAUCAGGUGUUCCCUUUAUUAGAUAAAAAAUUUAGAGUGCGCAUGUGUCAUGUUCAUGCCGAUAGCAUGUUACU